RNAcentral lists this long non-coding RNA (445 nucleotides) under Homo sapiens (human). RNAcentral's name for it is "HSALNT0229893". Lineage: Eukaryota; Metazoa; Chordata; Mammalia; Primates; Hominidae. The record is from RNAcentral.
CCACAUGCCUUUCUCGGGGGUCCCACCUCCUACAUCGUUUUAGGAAUAGACUGCAUGUGCACGGGGCAGGCCCACGGAAACCGAGCCGAGGGCUGUGAUUGCUAACUUCGAGGCUGACUUAUCUACUGCCUUACAAAGACUGCCCAGGCAAAGUGGAGCGGCAGCCUUCUCCCUCUUGUGCUGAAAGGUUUGUGGCUGGCCGCACCCUGUCAUCAGUUCUGUGGAUCUGUGAACUUCUCCCUGUAUUUGGAACCACAAAAUAAUUUGUUGGUGAUUCUUCAUAAUUCAGAAAUUUAAAGAGCUCUUCAUUUUCUCCAUCUUCACCACACCUCAUCUUUUACACAUUUCUAUAUCCCCUUUAAUUUUGGACUUCCUUCUGUAAGUAGUGCUUGAAACUCACGAUUUGCUGAUAUCAGCAACUAUAAAAUUCUCCAACUUUCCCUAA